AGGGAUUAGCUUGCUAAUUUGCUGACGACCGGCGCACGGGUGCGUAACGCGUAUACAAUCUGCCUUAUACUGGGGUAUAGCCUUUAGAAAUGAAGAUUAACCCCCCAUAGUCUCUACUUGUGGCAUCACAUAUAGAGUAAAGGUUACGGUAUAAGAUGAGUAUGCGUUCUAUUAGUUUGUUGGUGAGGUAACGGCUCACCAAGACUACGAUAGAUAGGGGCCCUGAGAGGGGGAUCCCCCACACUGGUACUGAGACACGGACCAGACUCCUACGGGAGGCAGCAGUGAGGAAUAUUGGACAAUGGAGGCAACUCUGAUCCAGCCAUGCCGCGUGCAGGAAGACUGCCCUAUGGGUUGUAAACUGCUUUUAUAUAGGAAGAAACCUACUUACGUGUAAGUAGCUGACGGUACUAUAAAAAUAAGGAUCGGUUAACUCCGUGCCAGCAGCCCCGGGUAAUACGGAAGGAUCCAGGCGUUUAUCCGGAAUCUUUGGGGUUUAAAAGGGUCCCGUAGGGGGAUUAAU
This 523-nucleotide ribosomal RNA is filed under the name uncultured Bacteroidota bacterium. RNAcentral describes it as "bacterial SSU rRNA". It matches the Rfam family "Bacterial small subunit ribosomal RNA", at positions 65 to 584 of the family's 1533-position model. Lineage: Bacteria; Pseudomonadati; Bacteroidota. The record is from RNAcentral.